Molecule: long non-coding RNA, 2312 nt
Filed under: Sus scrofa (pig)
Lineage: Eukaryota; Metazoa; Chordata; Mammalia; Artiodactyla; Suidae
Description: lncRNA (ENSSSCG00035060335.1)
Source: RNAcentral
GAACUUCUGCAUGCUGCAGGCAUGGCCAAACAAAACAAAAUACAAAAGUCCAACCAUAUGCUCUUUAUGAGAGAAACAUCUAAAACAUACGGAUACCAGUAGAUUGAAAUAAUGGAAUUAAGUUACGCCGUGGUAGGUAUUAUUACAUAAAACUUAAGGCAGAAUGCAUUACUAAGAGUAAAGGUCAUUGUAUAAUAAAAAUUCCCAAUCACCAGAAGUAUCUACUAAUUCUAGAUUCUACUUACGACUUCAAAACACAUGAAGCAAAAAUUGGUCAUCUACAAGGAGAAAUAUAUAAAUGUACAAUCACGGCGAGAGAUUUUAACACAUUAAAAUCCCGAGGGCAAUCCUUACCUCGUGCAGGAUGAGAACCAAGCAGUAGAAAAAUAAUCACCACGUCACCCUCAAGUGGUGAUUCUACAUGGCUCUUCAGACAGUCCCCAGAAAAGUAAAGCCCAUUUCCUCUCAGCAGAGAUCAGCUCAGUAGAACAUUGAAUUGGAUUGUCUUCCUUCCUUGUCUUGCUCUCCCCAGACCCCGUUCUUUUUCCCUUGGACUCAUCCCAGAGUAAAUUCUUGCAUGCAAAGUACUUCUCUCAACCCUGCUACUUUGUGGACCCAGGCUAAGACACUUGGUGAUACAAGCAGUUCUACAAACAAACCGUCCAAAUGGAUUCUAGUAUUGGACCAACUGGAUCCAGUAAGGAUCCCAGUCAUGUUGGUAAAUGGGGUGACAUUAACCCUUGGCACGCAGCAGCAUCACAGUUGCUGAGGUUUUCACCAGCAGUGAAUUGGAAUGGUGAAUUCGGAAGAUGAGGCAUUGCUUUAUGUAGUGGCAAUUCAUAAAAAAAUACGUGGUCAAUGUUAAUUAUAGGGAAUGUAGAGCUGGCUGACUCUGGUUGCUGGUCUUUAGAAGUCUUGUGAGAGGAGAGGAAAAUGGCAGCUUGAUUGGCCAACUGUCAACCUCAAGGAAUGCUGUGCAACUGGGAAAGUUUCCAGGACAACAGAGAAAUGUCCCUCUCCCCCCAACAGCCCUAGGAAGAUAGUUGCCAUUCAUCCUAGGCUUUAAUUGUGAGUACAGCUUGGUUACCAAGGAGAACACAGCCUUAAGGAGACUCUGAGGUCAGUGUCAGGGCCCAGCUAAGGAAACAGCAGACCUUGAGACAUGGGGUAAGGGUAUUUGGAUGGACAAAUCUGAGACCCUUGAACCCCACAUUCCUCUGAUCCCAGGAACUGUCCCUCCUCCUUCCUGGAGAGGAAUGGUCUUCCCUGGCUGCAGACACUGCGAAGACACCACUAGAGGCAGGAGCUUCACAAGGUGGGGUUCGUCCUAAGAUCUGCCUCUACCUCCUUUGUUUCCUCCAGACCAGCCAUCAAGUCAGGCGCAGCCCAAGCAAGAUGAUCCAGCUCCUCCUUUCGGGAGAUACCGUGUGUACUCCAAGGGUCGAAAGUGUUGGUUAACAGGCACUAAAGGUGAACCAGAGACCUCAUGUUGGACUGGGUCUUAAGGAGCAGCCAAGGAAAGAUGCCUCCUUGUGUUUCAGUUUCUUCAACUGUCAAAUCUGAUUACGAGUGCCUGUCCAACCUACUUUAUAUACUUAUUAGAGUAAAUGAAGAAAUUAAUAUUAUAGUGAACUCUGCUAGGGACUAUACUAGGCACUUCACGUAAAUUAUUUAAUUAGGAUAAAAUUGGGCACGUGUAAACACUUAAUCUAGUUCUAAACUUGUUUAGAACACAAACACAACAUUGUAAUCAACUACACGCCAAUACAUUUUUUAAAAGAAGACUUAAAUGUGUUAUUUUUAAUAGCAUGCCCUAGGAAAAAUGCAGAUUUGUGAAACCUUGUUGCCUAAAAGGAAAGAAGAAAAGGAAGCCGGUGUUUCAAAAACUCAGACAUAUUAGAAUAUGGCAUUGAGUAAGCUGUUGUCUUGUUUGGGGGAAGGUGGACCAUCUGAAGAGGGCUUUAGGGACAGUUCUAGUCAUUGACCUUGGGAGAAGCAGGGUAGGAACAGUGCUGCUGCGGAAGCUGAGAGAGCAGUUCUGUGUCCAGUGGAGCACAGUGAACUCCUGGGUGGCACCUGUGGUGUCUUGGGUAACGCAUGGCCUCCCACCCAGACUGCCUCGGUUGGAAUCCCAGCUCUGGCGCUCAGCCCACUGGGGGAUAUUGGACAGGUAGUUACAAAACUCCAUUUUAUGGAGUUCCCUGGUGGCACAGCAGGUGAAGAAUUUGACCUUGGUAGUGCUGCAGCUCAGGUCACUGGUGUGGCAUGGGUUCCACCUCUGGCCUGGGAACUUCCGUAUGCCGGGGACACGG